This 353-nucleotide ribosomal RNA is filed under the name uncultured Gigaspora. RNAcentral describes it as "SSU rRNA". It matches the Rfam family "Eukaryotic small subunit ribosomal RNA", at positions 569 to 929 of the family's 1831-position model. Lineage: Eukaryota; Fungi; Glomeromycota; Glomeromycetes; Diversisporales; Gigasporaceae. The record is from RNAcentral.
AGCAGCUUCCGUAAUUCCAGCUCCAAUAGCGUAUAUUAAAGUUGUUGCAGUUAAAAAGCUCGUAGUUGAAUUUCGGGGUUCUACUGUUGGUCGGGCAAUUGUCUGUACUGGCAUGUGGAAUUUCUACCUUCUGGGGAACCAUCAUGUUAUUAAUUUAGCGUGGUGGGAAACCAGGACCUUUACCUUGAAAAAAUUAGAGUGUUCAAAGCAGGCUUACGUCUGAAUACAUUAGCAUGGAAUAAUAAAAUAGGACGGUGGUCCUGUUUUGUUGGUUUCUGAAUCACCGUAAUGAUUAAUAGGGAUAGUUGGGGGCAUUAGUAUUCAAUUGUCAGAGGUGAAAUUCUUGGAUUUAU